RNAcentral lists this ribosomal RNA (415 nucleotides) under uncultured bacterium. Its description in RNAcentral is "bacterial SSU rRNA". It matches the Rfam family "Bacterial small subunit ribosomal RNA", at positions 355 to 761 of the family's 1533-position model. The record is from RNAcentral.
UGGGGAAUAUUGGGCAAUGGGCGAAAGCCUGACCCAGCGACGCCGCGUGGGUGAUGAAGGCCUUCGGGUUGUAAAACCCUUUCGUGCGGAAAGAAUAGUCCUGUAGCGAAUAACUACGGGAUUUGACGGUACCGCAGGAAGAAGCACCGGCUAACUCCGUGCCAGCAGCCGCGGUAAUACGGAGGGUGCAAGCGUUGUUCGGAAUUAUUGGGCGUAAAGGGCGCGUAGGUGGUUGUGAUAGUCAGAUGUAAAAUCCUUCGGCUCAACCGAAGAAGUGCAGCUGAAGAAGCAUAACUAGAGUACAGGAGUGGGAAACGGAAUUACCGGUGUAGAGGUGAAAUUAGUAGAAAUGGGGAGGAAAGCCAGUGGCGAAGGCGGGUUCCUGGCCUGAUACUGACGCUGAGGCGCGAAAGCG